RNAcentral lists this ribosomal RNA (420 nucleotides) under bacterium. RNAcentral's name for it is "partial 16S ribosomal RNA". It matches the Rfam family "Bacterial small subunit ribosomal RNA", at positions 355 to 776 of the family's 1533-position model. The record is from RNAcentral.
UGGGGGAUAUUGCACACUGGGCGAAAGCCUGAUGCAGCGACGCUGCGUGGGGGAUGAAGGCUUUCGGGUUGUAAACCUCUUUCGCUAUCGAACAAGGCCCGCUUAGGGUGGGUUGAGGGUAGGUGGAGAAGAAGCGCCGGCUAACUACGUGCCAGCAGCCGCGGUAAUACGUAGGGCGCGAGCGUUGUCCGGAAUUAUUGGGCGUAAAGGGCUUGUAGGCGGCUUGUUGCGCCUGCUGUGAAAACGCGGGGCUUAACUUCGCGCGUGCAGUGGGUACGGGCAGGCUUGAGUGUGGUGGGAGUGACUGGAAUUCCAGGUGUAGCGGUGGAAUGCGCAGAUAUCUGGAGGAACACCGAUGGCAAAAGCAGGUCACUGGGCAAUUACUGACGCUGAGAAGCGAAAGCAUGGGUAGCGAACAGG